AAACGUAUGGCUUAGCGGUCAGAGCGCUCGGAUGGUUUCCAAGAGGCACGGGUUCAAAUCCCACUUCGUUGA
RNAcentral lists this transfer RNA (72 nucleotides) under Heliconius melpomene (postman butterfly). RNAcentral describes it as "tRNA HMEL016502". It matches the Rfam family "tRNA". From Rfam's summary of the family: Transfer RNA (tRNA) molecules are approximately 80 nucleotides in length. Their secondary structure includes four short double-helical elements and three loops (D, anti-codon, and T loops). Further hydrogen bonds mediate the characteristic L-shaped molecular structure. tRNAs have two regions of fundamental functional importance: the anti-codon, which is responsible for specific mRNA codon recognition, and the 3' end, to which the tRNAs corresponding amino acid is attached (by aminoacyl-tRNA synthetases). tRNAs cope with the degeneracy of the genetic code in two manners: having more than one tRNA (with a specific anti-codon) for a particular amino acid; and 'wobble' base-pairing, i.e. permitting non-standard base-pairing at the 3rd anti-codon position. Lineage: Eukaryota; Metazoa; Arthropoda; Insecta; Lepidoptera; Nymphalidae. The record is from RNAcentral.